RNAcentral lists this ribosomal RNA (428 nucleotides) under uncultured bacterium. RNAcentral's name for it is "partial 16S ribosomal RNA". It matches the Rfam family "Bacterial small subunit ribosomal RNA", at positions 355 to 774 of the family's 1533-position model. The record is from RNAcentral.
UAGGGAAUCUUCCGCAAUGGACGAAAGUCUGACGGAGCAACGCCGCGUGAGUGAUGAAGGUUUUCGGAUCGUAAAGCUCUGUUGUUAGGGAAGAACAAGUGCCGUUCAAAUAGGGCGGCACCUUGACGGUACCUAACCAGAAAGCCACGGCUAACUACGUGCCAGCAGCCGCGGUAAUACGGAGGGGGCAAGCGGUGUCCGGAAUUAUUGGGCGUAAAGGGCUCGCAGGCGGUUUCUUAAGUCUGAUGUGAAAGCCCCCGGCUCAACCGGGGAGGGUCAUUGGAAACUGGGGAACUUGAGUGCAGAAGAGGAGAGUGGAAUUCCACGUGUAGCGGUGAAAUGCGUAGAGAUGUGGAGGAACACCAGUGGCGAAGGCGACUCUCUGGUCUGUAACUGACGCUGAGGAGCGAAAGCGUGGGGAGCGAACA